This 585-nucleotide ribosomal RNA is filed under the name uncultured bacterium. Its description in RNAcentral is "bacterial SSU rRNA". It matches the Rfam family "Bacterial small subunit ribosomal RNA", at positions 338 to 916 of the family's 1533-position model. The record is from RNAcentral.
CCUACGGGAGGCAGCAGUGGGGAAUUUUGGACAAUGGGCGCAAGCCUGAUCCAGCAAUGCCGCGUGAGUGAAGAAGGCCUUCGGGUUGUAAAGCUCUUUUGUCAGGGAAGAAACGGUCUACUCUAAUACAGUGGGCUAAUGACGGUACCUGAAGAAUAAGCACCGGCUAACUACGUGCCAGCAGCCGCGGUAAUACGUAGGGUGCAAGCGUUAAUCGGAAUUACUGGGCGUAAAGCGUGCGCAGGCGGUUAUAUAAGUCAGAUGUGAAAUCCCCGGGCUCAACCUGGGAACUGCAUUUGAGACUGUAUGGCUAGAGUGUGUCAGAGGGGGGUAGAAUUCCACGUGUAGCAGUGAAAUGCGUAGAUAUGUGGAGGAAUACCGAUGGCGAAGGCAGCCCCCUGGGAUAACACUGACGCUCAUGCACGAAAGCGUGGGGAGCAAACAGGAUUAGAUACCCUGGUAGUCCACGCCCUAAACGAUGUCUACUAGUUGUCGGGACUUAAUUGUCUUGGUAACGCAGCUAACGCGUGAAGUAGACCGCCUGGGGAGUACGGUCGCAAGAUUAAAAAUCAAAGGAAUUGACGG